GACAGAGGGUGCAAACGUUGUUCGGAAUUACUGGGCGUAAAGCGCGUGUAGGCGGUCGGGCAAGUCGGAUGUGAAAGCCCAGGGCUCAACCCUGGAAGUGCACUCGAUACUGCUCGGCUAGAGUCCCGGAGAGGAUGGUGGAACCCUCGGUGUAGAGGUGAAAUUCGUAGAUAUCGAGAAGAACAUCGGUGGCGAAGGCGGCCAUCUGGACGGUGACUGGCGCUGAGACGCGAAAGCGUGGGGAGCAAACAGG
RNAcentral lists this ribosomal RNA (253 nucleotides) under uncultured bacterium. RNAcentral describes it as "partial 16S ribosomal RNA". It matches the Rfam family "Bacterial small subunit ribosomal RNA", at positions 524 to 776 of the family's 1533-position model. The record is from RNAcentral.